GAUGAACGCUGGCGGCGUGCCUAAUACAUGCCAGUCGAGCGAACAGACGAGGAGCUUGCUCCUCUGACGUUAGCGGCGGACGGGUGAGUAACACGUGGAUAACCUACCUAUAAGACUGGGAUAACUUCGGGAAACCGGAGCUAAUACCGGAUAAUAUAUUGAACCGCAUGGUUCAAUAGUGAAAGACGGUUUUGCUGUCACUUAUAGAUGGAUCCGCGCCGCAUUAGCUAGUUGGUAAGGUAACGGCUUACCAAGGCAACGAUGCGUAGCCGACCUGAGAGGGUGAUCGGCCACACUGGAACUGAGACACGGUCCAGACUCCUACGGGAGGCAGCAGUAGGGAAUCUUCCGCAAUGGGCGAAAGCCUGACGGAGCAACGCCGCGUGAGUGAUGAAGGUCUUCGGAUCGUAAAACUCUGUUAUUAGGGAAGAACAAAUGUGUAGGUAACUAUGCACGUCUUGACGGUACCUAAUCAGAAAGCCACGGCUAACUACGUG
RNAcentral lists this ribosomal RNA (497 nucleotides) under uncultured bacterium. RNAcentral describes it as "partial 16S ribosomal RNA". It matches the Rfam family "Bacterial small subunit ribosomal RNA", at positions 28 to 507 of the family's 1533-position model. The record is from RNAcentral.